Molecule: RNA transcript, 2649 nt
Organism: Aquila chrysaetos chrysaetos
Lineage: Eukaryota; Metazoa; Chordata; Aves; Accipitriformes; Accipitridae
Exons: 2
Source: RefSeq, a predicted model, not a curated record
CACGUGCUCGGCUUCUUCACACAAAAUUAAUGUACGAAACUCAGAGUAUGAUAAAGCUGUAGGCACCGGUGAAAGCGUGAACUGUGUAGGGGAGGUGGAUAACUUCCCCCAGUUAAAAUCAGUAUCUUCAGCAGCAGCCCCUCCACCCUAUUUGGUAGGGGAUGCAGACUCUCCUGUCGGGAAACGGUGAUCAGCUAAAAGUCCCUUUCCCCUGGGGAUUUCUCUGUUGCGUCCCACAGACUUUUUGGCCGAGUGUCAGUUUUCAGCCCCUCCACCCUCCUCCUCCAGAACCACAGGUGGUGGCCACGGAAGAGGAAUUUGGAGCCAGAAGCUGGUUUUCCACUGAGACGCUAUCAGCUCUCGCACGCACGUUUCCAAAGCAGGACCUCCGCGCUAUCUGCCCUCCCACCUGUCCCGUCCUCCUCCUCUGAGCCUGAUCUCGUGCCACACUUGUCCCCCUGGUCUCCGUGCCGCCUGCCGCACCCAGCCUUGGCUGGAUGCCCAUGGCCGUGGGGGCCUGGAAACCCCAAAUUUGGCAGCAGCCUCUGACUGCUGGUGCGUCAGCCAGCCCAGCAGCUGGAGGACACCUGCCCCACACCCUGGGGAAGGUCCUCGUGCAGAACGAGGAGUGCCACCACGUGUCACCACGAGGAACCGGGAGGGAAAAGCAGCCAGAUGAAAUUCAGUAGGCAAAGGUGCACGGCACCGUGCUGAGGAAGCAGACAGCAGCUAUGCGUACGCCAAGUGGGGCACAAGCAGCAGCGCUGGAAAAAAGCGUCUUGCUUUGCCCCAGAGAAGCUGCAUGUUGUCCUAAUUCGCUCUCCAGGCACGUCUCACUACAAACAGAAGUUGCUCUCUCCUGUUCCUGGUGAGACUCAAAGCUCUGAGAAGAUGUCCUGCCCCGUAGGUUUCCUUUUCCUGAUGAAAGCCAGUGCAGAAAGUGCUCCUCUUGGGACACCACAUGCUCCAGCAUCUGUCGACCCCUCUCGUGGCUGGGUGCCUGCAAAUCUGAAGGACCAGAAGUAUAAAUGCAGGUGAAAAGGCAGAUAUUCCUGGAGCGGGUCAGGUUUGUUUCAGAGGUGGCCAGCUUCCCCCGCCGAGGGCACGUGUUGGCCAUUCCAGCAGGGAGGACGGGCUGGACCAGGAGAAGAUGCAGGCAGCAAAGCCCCACUGACCGUGAGCAGCAGGGCUGGCCUGGGCAGAGACACAGGAGGCAUGGCAGGGAGACGCAGCUUUGGGUGAGAACUUGCUUAUCACAAAACCCAGGCCCUGGAGAAAGACACAGCCUGAAGCCGUUUGGGGUGUCCCCAUCACUGCUGCCAGGCCACCAAGACUGGUGGCUGGCAGGGCGUCCCACUGGGUGGGGAGGAGCCGGCAACUGUGGGCAAAGCUGAGGCACUCGAGCCAGCGUGUGAUGGGCUGUGCAGUAGGACAGCAGGGAUGCUCGUGGCAGGAUCAGCCUCCUCUCCUGCCGGCGAAGAAGAGCGGCCGCUGCCUCGCUGCUUUGCCGUGGGGCCAGCAGUAACCCCCCCAACAGGGUCCCGGCAUAGUCAGCCAGGAACUUGUACCGGGCUCGGGCUCCCAGACAGAAAAAACAAACCACUGCGUGUUCAAUGUUUACAUUAGAUGUUUAUUUUACAGUUCAUUUCACAAUCCGUUUCUCUUCUCCCUUUGCUGCGAGUUGAUUUAUGGUGCUGCAGAUCCUAUCUGCCUGCCCUGCCCAGAGCAUGGACUUGGAGAAAAACCUGUCAGGGGUCUCUCCUUGUCGUCGUUGCUGUUUUGUCUACAAGUGCCCUUACCUAUGAGUUAAACUAGAGCAGUUUCUUCCAAACAGCAAUACAUGAGUUUCCUGCUCCCUUGUGCUUGUAUUGGCGUUUUGAGGGGUGGGCAGCUCAGGGUCUCUGAAGAAAACAAGAGCAAACGAGCAUGGUGCAAAGGGCUGCCCUGAGCUUCCCUCUGGCUGGCUUCUCCCCUGGCUGGACUGGUGGGGCGUUGAGGACUCCUGGCACGCGGUGGGACCGCAGACCCUGCGCCCCGUCCACUGUGCCCCCCCGAGGAUGAGGCGCCGUACCUGGCUGCGGGGCAAGUCCCCGGGCUCUUGGGAUGGCCAGUGACCGUGCGAGGUGGCUGGUCCCUGCCCGCCCUGUGCCAUAAGGGACUGUCAGGGGCUGCUGGGAUUAACCGGGAUUACUUGCUCCAUGGUACAUUUAAAUUUUGAUUUUUAUGCUGCUGUGUCUUAGCGGCAUUCAGGGACGUGGUUUAGCUUCACUGGUUUGAUCAAGGCCUUUCCUCCACAGUUGAACGUGCAAAAAAGAUGCGCUGCAUUUUACUGAGAAAAUAAGAGAUCUGAUCUGAAGAUCUGCUGGGAAAUCCCUGAGUAAAACUUGGCCUUCCUUGCUGUCUGCGUGCUUUGGAGAAGGAGAGGGAUUCACUGCUUCCUCGUACAGAGCCAGGUGCUCCCCAUGAAUAACUGGACCCAACCUAAAAGCAGAAGGAAGUGUAUUUAAAAAAACAGAGGUGUGGUAAUGACACUAUCACGCUUUAUGUGUAUUGUGUAACCCGUGAUGUGUGUGUGGCUCCUGAAGAGCCUGCUCCCCAGUCACGGCUAAAUCACACCUUGAAAACAACAAUAAAAUCCUAAUAAGUUGA